This 270-nucleotide ribosomal RNA is filed under the name uncultured bacterium. Its description in RNAcentral is "partial 16S ribosomal RNA". It matches the Rfam family "Bacterial small subunit ribosomal RNA", at positions 88 to 354 of the family's 1533-position model. The record is from RNAcentral.
CCGGCGACCGGCGCGACGGUGAGUAACACGUAUGCAACCUGCCCUCCGCAGGGGGAUAACCCGGAGAAAUCCGGACUAAUACCGCGUGGUACACCAGUGGGCAUCCCACGGGUGUUAAAAGGAAGCGAUUCCGGCGGAGGAUGGGCAUGCGGCGCAUUAGCUAGUUGGCGGGGUAACGGCCCACCAAGGCGACGAUGCGUAGGGGUUCUGAGAGGAAGGUCCCCCACACUGGUACUGAGACACGGACCAGACUCCUACGGAAGGCAGCAG